GACGAACGCUGGCGGCGUGCUUAACACAUGCAAGUCGAACGGAAAGGCCCUGCUUUUGUGGGGUGCUCGAGUGGCGAACGGGUGAGUAACACGUGAGUAACCUGCCCUUGACUUUGGGAUAACUUCAGGAAACUGGGGCUAAUACCGGAUAGGAGCUCCUGCUGCAUGGUGGGGGUUGGAAAGUUUCGGCGGUUGGGGAUGGACUCGCGGCUUAUCAGCUUGUUGGUGGGGUAGUGGCUUACCAAGGCUUUGACGGGUAGCCGGCCUGAGAGGGUGACCGGCGACAUUGGGACUGAGAUACGGCGCAGAAGCCUACGGGAGGCAGCAGUGGGAAAUAUUGCAGAAUGGGCGGAAGCCUGAUGCAGCAACGCCGCGUGCGGGAUGACGGCCUUCGGGUUGUAAACCGCUUUCGCCUGUGACGAAGCGUGAGUGACGGUAAUGGGUAAAGAAGCACCGGCUAACUACGUG
RNAcentral lists this ribosomal RNA (468 nucleotides) under uncultured bacterium. Its description in RNAcentral is "partial 16S ribosomal RNA". It matches the Rfam family "Bacterial small subunit ribosomal RNA", at positions 28 to 507 of the family's 1533-position model. The record is from RNAcentral.